Tachyglossus aculeatus (Australian echidna) is the source of this 138-nucleotide small nucleolar RNA. The record is from RefSeq and is a predicted model, not a curated record. NCBI's taxonomy places the organism in Eukaryota, Metazoa, Chordata, Mammalia, Monotremata, Tachyglossidae.
CGCCUCUCAGGAUCGGACCUGGAGAGUUUCUGGUAUGCUACCAGUCUUGGCUACGGGAGGGAGAGUCAACCAGAGGCAUACCCAUUCCAUUCCUAGUUUGGGCAGUGGCUAGCGAGUGGAAGGCAAUUUGCUACAAGU